ACGCUCGACACCUACGGGAGGCAGCAGUGGGGAAUAUUGCACAAUGGGGGAAACCCUGAUGCAGCGACGCCGCGUGAGCGAAGAAGUAUUUCGGUAUGUAAAGCUCUAUCAGCAGGGAAGAUAAUGACGGUACCUGACUAAGAAGCUCCGGCUAAAUACGUGUCAGCAGCCGCGGUAAUCUGAGCGGGCUGGCAAGGC
Molecule: ribosomal RNA, 198 nt
Filed under: uncultured bacterium
Lineage: Bacteria
Description: partial 16S ribosomal RNA
Rfam family: Bacterial small subunit ribosomal RNA
Source: RNAcentral